RNAcentral lists this ribosomal RNA (504 nucleotides) under uncultured bacterium. RNAcentral's name for it is "partial 16S ribosomal RNA". It matches the Rfam family "Bacterial small subunit ribosomal RNA", at positions 30 to 523 of the family's 1533-position model. The record is from RNAcentral.
AUUGAACGCUGGCGGCAUGCCUUACACAUGCAAGUCGAACGGCAGCAUGGAGAGCUUGCUCUCUGAUGGCGAGUGGCGAACGGGUGAGUAAUGCAUCUGAACGUACCGUGUAAUGGGGGAUAACGUAGCGAAAGUUACGCUAAUACCGCAUACGACCUGAGGGUGAAAGCAGGGGAUCGCAAGACCUUGCGUUAUACGAGCGGCCGAUGUCAGAUUAGCUAGUUGGUGAGGUAAAGGCUCACCAAGGCGACGAUCUGUAGCGGGUCUGAGAGGAUGAUCGGCCACACUGGGACGGAGACACGGCCCAGUCUCAUACGGGAGGCAGCAGUGGGGGAUUGUGGACAAUGGUGGCAACCCUGAUCCAGCCAUGCCGGGUGAGUGAAGAAGGCCUUCGGGUUGUAAAGCUCUUUCGGCCGGGAAGAAAUCGCACAGGCUAAUACUCUGUGUGGAUGACGGUACCGGCAUAAAAAGCACCGGAUAACUACGUGCCAGCCGCCGCCGUAA